CAAUUUUUCAACCCAGUAUCACGCUAAAGCGUGUAAUAGACACGCUGGUCCACUAGAGGAUGCGUGUCAAUGUCACGCUUUGCCUCCUCUAGGCGUGAAAAUGACACGCAUUUAUGAGGAUGAUAACCAAUAGGGGGCGAUAAUUUCUUAUUGCCAACAACUUCAACAAGAGAAGCGACGCAGUGAUAUUGCGUUCUCUGGAGUUCCAUGGGUCCGGUCAGUACCCACCACCCUUCCCUGUUAACAUCACCCACAGUUUAUACUUUUUCUUAGAAAACCAACGGCUCUUAAGAGCCACUUCAAUAAUCAACUCGCUCACUCUCCUCAAAAAUGCCAGGCCAGGGGUCAACAACUAGAAAGUGUGUGGUCUGCCAUACACAACUAAAUGUAGCUUGCAAAACCUGCAACACAUGCAAGGUAGAGCAGCCACAUAAGCUCAGGGUAAAAAGGAACUGAAGAAAUUUGAUCAGAAGCGGGAGAGCUGGGUGCAUGAUGAAGAUAUGGAAGAUA
This is a non-coding RNA of Paramisgurnus dabryanus, 510 nucleotides long. The record is from RefSeq and is a predicted model, not a curated record. NCBI's taxonomy places the organism in Eukaryota, Metazoa, Chordata, Actinopteri, Cypriniformes, Cobitidae.